GAUGAACGCUAGCUACAGGCUUAACACAUGCAAGUCGCGUGGCAGCAUGGGGGUUGCUUGCACUCCCCGAUGGCGACCGGCGCACGGGUGAGUAACGCGUAUCCAACCUGCCCUUCACCACGGGAUAACCCGGCGAAAGUCGGACUAAUACCGUAUGUUGUCCAUUGACGGCAUCCGAUUUGGACGAAAGGCUUGGCGGUGAGGGAUGGGGAUGCGUCCGAUUAGCCAGACGGCGGGGUAACGGCCCACCGUGGUUACGAUCGGUAGGGGUUCUGAGAGGAAGGUCCCCCACACUGGAACUGAGACACGGUCCAGACUCCUACGGGAGGCAGCAGUGAGGAAUAUUGGUCAAUGGGCGUAAGCCUGAACCAGCCAAGUAGCGUGCAGGAUGACGGCCCUAUGGGUUGUAAACUGCUUUUAUGCGGGGAUAAAGUGGCCCACGUGUGGGCUUUUGCAGGUACCGCAUGAAUAAGGACCGGCUAAUUCCGUG
RNAcentral lists this ribosomal RNA (490 nucleotides) under uncultured bacterium. Its description in RNAcentral is "partial 16S ribosomal RNA". It matches the Rfam family "Bacterial small subunit ribosomal RNA", at positions 28 to 507 of the family's 1533-position model. The record is from RNAcentral.